Molecule: ribosomal RNA, 578 nt
Filed under: Bacillus licheniformis
Lineage: Bacteria; Bacillati; Bacillota; Bacilli; Caryophanales; Bacillaceae
Description: bacterial SSU rRNA
Rfam family: Bacterial small subunit ribosomal RNA
Source: RNAcentral
GCAAGUCGAGCGGACAGAUGGGAGCUUGCUCCCUGAUGUCAGCGGCGGACGGGUGAGUAACACGUGGGUAACCUGCCUGUAAGACUGGGAUAACUCCGGGAAACCGGGGCUAAUACCGGAUGCUUGAUUGAACCGCAUGGUUCAAUUAUAAAAGGUGGCUUUUACCUACCACUUACAAAUGGACCCGCGGCGCAUUACCUAGUUGGUGAGGUAACGGCUCACCAAGGCAACAAUGCGUACCCAACCUGAAAGGGUGAUCGGCCACACUGGGACUGAAACACGGCCCAAACUCCUACGGGAGGCAGCAGUAGGGAAUCUUCCGCAAUGGACAAAAGUCUGACGGACCAACGCCGCGUGAGUGAUGAAGGUUUUCGGAUCGUAAAACUCUGUUGUUAGGGAAAAACAAGUACCGUUCGAAUAGGGCGGUACCUUGACGGUACCUAACCAAAAAGCCACGGCUAACUACGUGCCACCAGCCGCGGUAAUACUUAGGGGGCAAGCGUUGUCCGGAAUUAUUGGGCGUAAAGCGCGCGCAGGCGGUUUCUUAAGUCUGAUGUGAAAGCCCCCGGCUCACCCGG